UCCGAAGGGGGCUAGCGUUGUUCGGAUUUACUGGGCGUAAAGCGCACGUAGGCGGAUCGUUAAGUCGGGGGUGAAAUCCUGGAGCUCAACUCUGGAACUGCCUUUGAUACUGAAGAUCUUGAGUUCGGGAGAGGUGAGUGGAACUGCGAGUGUAGAGGUGAAAUUCGUAGAUAUUCGCAAGAACACCAGUGGCGAAGGCGGCUCACUGGCCCGAUACUGACGCUGAGGCACGAAAGCGUGGGGAGCAAACAGG
Molecule: ribosomal RNA, 253 nt
Filed under: uncultured bacterium
Lineage: Bacteria
Description: partial 16S ribosomal RNA
Rfam family: Bacterial small subunit ribosomal RNA
Source: RNAcentral